This 1202-nucleotide long non-coding RNA is filed under the name Lonchura striata (white-rumped munia). Its description in RNAcentral is "domestica (Bengalese finch) lncRNA (ENSLSDG00000003236.1)". Lineage: Eukaryota; Metazoa; Chordata; Aves; Passeriformes; Estrildidae. The record is from RNAcentral.
UCCAGUCUCAGUUUAACAGUUGUUUUGUUUUUGUCCCACACAGGAUUAUGCUGUUCAAUGAAUUCCUGUAUUUUCUCAGAAUAAUUCAGGGGGUUGAUCACUGUCUAUCUCUAUCCCCUGUUUCUACAGUUUGAUGCUGUUUUUCCCCAACUAGUGUUCCUAAAACUUUGCAGGGCUUUUUAUCUCUAAUAUUCUCACACAGCAUCUCUGAUAUUUAUCUCUGAUAUUACCACAUUUUUAAGUUAUCCCUUUAAAUAUUUGCUUUCAGUGGAAUAUGUUAAAGUUAACUUGUAUAAAUGGUAUUUUGUUAUUAACUACUUUCUCUCCUUGAGCUUGCUCAGCUGAACUGUGUCAUUUGCCUCUAUUUUUACUAUUAAAUAACCUUUGGGCCCCUCAAAUCCAGUGUGUGACCUCCUCCUGUCCAGCUUUGCUGGUCCUACCAGCUCACAUUAGCCACGAGAAAAACUUUCUUCUAUUCAAAAUUAAUAAAAUGUUUUUUUAUCUUGGAAAAUGAACAGGAAUAACUGUUUUGGAAUGAUGUUAGAAUUGAGUGCUUGGAUUUCCUGACACAAUAAGAUGUAUGUUUUGUGCACAAAUCUGAUGCUUUGUCAGCACUGAAAUAUUGCAUUUUAGGUUCUGUGGCAGAAGUGUUUUAACUUCCACAUGCCAUUGAGGUGUUUGGCCUCAUGGGUGGAGAUAUUUGGGUACAUUUUAUCUGUAUUAAUGCUCACUGUGAACAGGCACUUUUACAUGGGGGAUAUUUCCAAUCCUUAUUUCCCUGGGGAGAGCAGGACCUGGAAGCUGAGAUCCACGAGCUGCAGAAGAGUUUCCAAGCACCCUGGCAGCUGAGAAGUUAUACUAGGCAUCAUGAAUGUCAAUGAUUUUGUAAUUCUCCCAGGCUCAAAAGCUGGAACCUCUGUGAGAUUAAAAACAAAAACUGUCAAGGAAUUGCAGUUGGAGAAAGCUCAGUUAGAAACGGAAAACAGAGAGAUGGAGAGAAGAUUAUUGCAGCUGCAGUCAAACAUGAGCAGAGAAAAAGAAGAGAGGAGGUAGGUUCAGUUUCUCUGUAGAAAAAAGGAAUUCAAUGAGAUGCUCCCUCCACACUGCCAACUCCUCACAUGGGAUUGCUUGUAAAGUUUGGACUUCACAAUUAUAUUCAGUCUCCUCUCUCCAGUCUUUCUUCUCAAUGUUCAACUUGCUUC